GUGGGGAAUCUUCCGCAAUGGACGAAAGUCUGACGGAGCGACGCCGCGUGAGUGAAGAAGGCCUUCGGGUCGUAAAGCUCUGUCAUCAGGGACGAAUGGCCGGUGGAGUGGAAAGCCACCGGAUUGACGGUACCUGAGAAGGAAGCCACGGCUAACUACGUGCCAGCAGCCGCGGUAAUACGUAGGUGGCAAGCGUUGUCCGGCAUUAUUGGGCGUAAAGCGCGCGCAGGUGGGAGCGUAAGUCCAUUUUGAAAGUUCGGAGCUCAACUCCGUGAUGGGAUGGAAACUGAGAUUCUUGAGUACCGGAGAGGAAAGCGGAAUUCCCCGUGUAGCGGUGAAAUGCGUAGAUAUGGGGAGGAACACCAGUGGCGAAGGCGGCUUUCUGGACGGUGUCUGACACUGAGGCGCGAAAGCCAGGGGAGCGAACGGGAUUAGAAACCCUGGUAGUCC
This 450-nucleotide ribosomal RNA is filed under the name uncultured bacterium. RNAcentral describes it as "partial 16S ribosomal RNA". It matches the Rfam family "Bacterial small subunit ribosomal RNA", at positions 354 to 796 of the family's 1533-position model. The record is from RNAcentral.